This 467-nucleotide ribosomal RNA is filed under the name uncultured bacterium. Its description in RNAcentral is "partial 16S ribosomal RNA". It matches the Rfam family "Bacterial small subunit ribosomal RNA", at positions 28 to 506 of the family's 1533-position model. The record is from RNAcentral.
GACGAACGCUGGCGGCGUGCUUAACACAUGCAAGUCGAACGGAAAGGCCCUGCUUUUGUGGGGUGCUCGAGUGGCGAACGGGUGAGUAACACGUGAGUAACCUGCCCUUGACUUUGGGAUAACUUCAGGAAACUGGGGCUAAUACCGGAUAGGAGCUCCUGCUGCAUGGUGGGGGUUGGAAAGUUUCGGCGGUUGGGGAUGGACUCGCGGCUUAUCAGCUUGUUGGUGGGGUAGUGGCUUACCAAGGCCUUGACGGGUAGCCGGCCUGAGAGGGUGACCGGCCACAUGGGGACUGAGAUACGGCCCAGACUCCUACGGGAGGCAGCAGUGGGGAAUAUUGCACAAUGGGCGGAAGCCUGAUGCAGCAACGCCGCGUGCGGGAUGACGGCCUUCGGGUUGUAAACCGCUUUCGCCUGUGACGAAGCGUGAGUGACGGUAAUGGGGAAAGAAGCACCGGCUAACUACGU